This 440-nucleotide ribosomal RNA is filed under the name uncultured bacterium. Its description in RNAcentral is "partial 16S ribosomal RNA". It matches the Rfam family "Bacterial small subunit ribosomal RNA", at positions 338 to 795 of the family's 1533-position model. The record is from RNAcentral.
CCUACGGUGCGCAGCAGUGGGGGAUAUUGCACAAUGGGGGAAACCCUGAUGCAGCGACGCCGCGUGGGUGAAGACGCGCCUCGGCGCGUAAAGCCCUGUCAGCAGGGAAGAAAAUGACGGUACCUGAAGAAGCAGCCCCGGCUAACUACGUGCCAGCAGCCGCGGUAAUACGUAGGGGGCAAGCGUUAUCCGGAUUUACUGGGUGUAAAGGGGGCGCAGACGGUGAUGCAAGCCAGGAGUGGAAGCCCGGGGCCCAACCCCGGGACUGCUCGUGGAACUGCGUGGCUAGAGUGCAGGAGGGGCAGGCGGAAGUCCUGGUGUAGCGGUGAAAGGCGUAGAUAUCAGGAGGAACACCGGUGGCGAAGGCGGCCUGCUGGACUGCAACUGACGUUGAGGCCCGAAAGCGUGGGGAGCAAACAGGAUUAGAUACCCUGGUAGUC